UAUUAAACUUCUUAGGCAUAGUAAUCCUUGUCCUCAUCAUAUUUAUAGAAGAAAAAUUCUUUGGAUUUAGUUGCAAGGUCAAUCUACUUACUUCCUUCAAUUACACAACUUCUUGUUACAAACUUUAAACUUCUUCCAUAGGCAUAGGCAUAGUACUUCUAUGAUUUACAUUGAAAAUACUUAAAAUUUUCACUCUUAGAGUAUUGAUAAGCUCAUGAAGAUCUACAAUAGUUGCAAAUCUAUUUUCACUUUUAUUGAGAAUAGCAUUGAUAAUCUUUCUUU
This 282-nucleotide long non-coding RNA is filed under the name Physcomitrium patens. RNAcentral's name for it is "long non-coding RNA (PPAT_LNC004383)". The record is from RNAcentral. Lineage: Eukaryota; Viridiplantae; Streptophyta; Bryopsida; Funariales; Funariaceae.